Molecule: long non-coding RNA, 847 nt
Filed under: Capsicum annuum
Lineage: Eukaryota; Viridiplantae; Streptophyta; Magnoliopsida; Solanales; Solanaceae
Description: long non-coding RNA (CANN_LNC015216)
Source: RNAcentral
AAAAACAAAGAAAAACAUGCAAUCCACGCAUAGUAUUUUCACAUUUACUUCAAAACAUAUUUUACACAUACUGUCACAAAAAAUUAAAAAAAAAAUAUAAUUAUUCGUUCACAUGUUUAUAUAUCAAAUCACUGUUCUUCAAUUUCCAGUCAUGACAUAAGCAUGUACUCAUCUUCUAUACUCACAAAUCACAGAAUACAUCAUACACAGUAAGAAUAUGAAAGAAAAUUAGUCGGGAAAAGAAUUUUUAGACGGGUAAGUUCCGGUGAAAGCUGUAUAAUUUUCCAGCGUAGUUAUUGCCGAAAAACGUUAAAAACAGCGAUCAAAAUUAUCGCUCAUCACCGAAAAAGCCAUCAAAAUCCGACACAAUGGUCGAUUCCGGUGGUAAUUCGCCGAAAAAAAUCCUUUGAAACAGUCACCGAAUUAGAUCCGGUGACCACCAUUACACCGGAAACCAACCGGCAAAAUCCAGCGCCGCCGGCGUCUCCCCCUUCCCCUUUCUCUGUUGCUACUUCAUUCCAGGCGGAAAAACCACUGCCAGCCAUAUGAAAAUGGCUCAGAUAUCGCUGGAAAACACAAAAUCCGGCAACCACUAUCAUGCCGGUGCCUUCCCCUUUUCCAUUUUCCCACCGAAAAAUAGUCCACCGGAUCCGGCGCCAUCCCUCUUUUCUCCAAACUCGCUGGCUACCGUCAGUUUCAGUAUCAACGUUUUUUUUUUCUUCUCUAUACUUUUUUUUCUUAUAAAAAGAGUGUUAAGUAAUGUUAAUAUAUGUAUAUUGUUGUUUAAAUAAAUAGAAAAUAUUUCUUGUAAGUAUCCUGCUUAGUGGUUGACUGUAUAGUGUUUGGG